RNAcentral lists this long non-coding RNA (4150 nucleotides) under Nicotiana tabacum (common tobacco). RNAcentral describes it as "long non-coding RNA (NTAB_LNC007968)". The record is from RNAcentral. Lineage: Eukaryota; Viridiplantae; Streptophyta; Magnoliopsida; Solanales; Solanaceae.
CUCUCUCUCUCUCUCUCUCUCUCUCUCUCUCUCUCUCUCUGUUUCUUCUCUCUCUUUACGUGUGUGUCUUUUCUUUUAUCUCCAUAUAUCAAAUUGUAAUAAAUUAAUUAUUCUGAUCAAACACAAUUAACCGAUCAUCCAGAAGCAAAAGCGAUCGUUUUCUUCCCCGGCAAAAUUUCCAGGUAAUUCAUCGAUCAUCGUUUUAUUCCAUGUUUAAUAUCUAUCAAGUUCAUAUUCCUGUUUGAUUGUUCUGUUCCUUUAUUUAUUACAUACUUUUUGCUCGGUUUUUGUUGGGGAAAAGUUAUUGGGUUUAAAGCUGAUUUUUCUCGCCCGAUCGUUUUUUUAGAAUCAAAUUAAUGCUCUUUUGCAGUUGUUUUUUCGCUAUUGCUCGGUAGAUUUUUUAACUUAAUUUUUUAAAUUUAUCCUUAAUAUUUGUAUUCAAUCAUUUAUCACUUGGUGGAGGAAUAUAUAGUAUUUCGUUUUUUCUAAGCUGAUUAUCAUUUUCCCACCCGAUCGUUUAGUAUGUGAUUUAUUUUUUAUUUUACAUAUUUUGCAUGAAUAAAUUGUUUUCUGCUUAUUUCAACUUAUUGUAUCUAACAACUUUAAAAAGAUAUCUAAAUGAAACUUAAAUUAUGUUUGAUUGUAAAUUAUUCAAGUGCCUAGUUUUUUGUGUUUUUAAGUAAAUACUGGAGACUUGAUAUAAUCAACAGAAACUAAGAAGAAUAUAAUUGUUGUAGUUAUUCCAAGUUCAAAUCCUAGCGGAGUCAAAAAGCUAGGUGAUGUCUUUCCAUCCGCCUAGAGGCGAAACCAAAAUUUGAAGUUUGUGGGUUCUGAAGUUGCCACAGAACCCAUAGCUCGUCUUAGUUAGUGGGUUCGUAAUUAAAUAUUUCUACAUAUUUAAUAAAUUUCUUAAUACAAAUCCAGAGUUUAAGUAAAAGUCACAGGAUUCCAGCGAACCCGUAUUUAGUAGGCUAGCUCCAGCCUUACAUUUGCCUAAACCUUGGUGGACAAAGUUACCCGGUAUUUGUGUUGAUUGUAGGUACCAGAUAUUAAAUGGAAUUAGUCGAGGUGCGCGCAAGUUGACGCAAAUACCGCCAUCAUUGAAACAAGUAAUUUUUGUAGUUAUUCAUCGCGCAGAGUGCAUAAAUAUUUAAAAAAGGAACAAAAUUGAAUAUUUGACAUCCCAAUUUGGUAAUCUGCUACAUUAACUGUAAUUUUUUAAUGUGAAAAUCUUGAUGUCCAGGAAAGUAUGUGUUGCAUAUAGGAGUUCCUAAAGCAUUGAUUAUUUAUCAAAAAGAGAGGGAGGGAGGGAGAGAGGGAGGGUAAAAGAGAGAAAUUGGUUGGUUUAUUUCACUUAUGUGAAGUAUUCAUGGCUUAGCUUUGUUUCGUAUUAUUGGAAGGCAAGUGAAAGUGAUAUAUAUUUUCUCCUUUAUGGAUAGUAGGCAAUUCUUAGUUUUAUUUCCUUAUAUGUCCUUCAAGUGGAAUGAGAUGCAAAUUAUAAGUGGUGCACUGAUUUACUAAGAUUACAUUUUCGAAGAGAAAUUGAUCUUGAGCGUUAAGUCAUAACUUGAUAAUUCAUGGCAAGUGGUAUUGAUAAUCACGCUAGCUUACAACAUCAACAACUAUAAAACUACUACUAUGCCUCAAUCCCAAGCUAGUUGGGUUCGGCGGUAUGAAUCCUCAUUAUUAUAAGUGCUUCAUUUGGGUCCAUAAUAUUUCAAUACUAUGUACUUAAGGAUUAUUUAGCACUAGAGAUUCUCUAAUGUGCUCUAGUGGUUUGUCAACUUGAGACUGAUAAUUAAUUACGCUAGCAUACUGCAUGUAAAUUAAGUGGAGAAAAUAAACCAUAGUGAGGUAUCCCGCCUGACUUAAAUUUAGCCUAUGAGGAACAUUGACAUCUUAGCCAAUCAUGGUGAGAGUAAUUAUAAUCUAAUACUUCGUUUGUUCUAUUUUAUUUGACACUCUUUCCUUUUUAGUUUCUUUUAAAAAAGAAUGAUUACCCAAGGGUUUGGCCUAGUGGUCAAUCAGUCAAUGAAGUGGGUUGAGAACCAUGAGGUUUCAGGUUCAAAUCUCAGCGGAGGCAAAAACAUUAGGUGUUUUCUUCCUAUCUGUCCAAACCUUGGUGGACAAAGUUACCUGGUACCUGUUGCUGGCCGGAGGUAGCAGGCAUCCUGUGGAAUUAGUCGAGGUAUGCACAUGCUGGAUGGGACACCACGGUUAUAAAAAAAAGAAUGAAACCUUCCUAUAUUUGGGAAAAAAUUAUCUUUACUUCCCAUUUUACCCUUACUAAAAUGCUUUUAUAGUCACAAGAAAUGUCACGACGUGUUUAAGACCACAAGUUCGAGAAGUUUUCCUUUCUUUCUUAAAUUGCGUGCUCAGUCAAACAAGCCACAUAAAAUAAAAUGGGGGGAGUACAAUUUUGAGUUAUUUAUAUCGUGUAGGUUUAAGAUCAUUUCCCCCAAAUUUGACUCUGUGUGUCUGUCAUUUUAAAAGGAUCAGCAUGAAACCCCUUUUCCUCAAAUAAGGGGUGGGGGUAUACUCAUAACGCCGCGGGAGUUAAAUUCACCUCAGUGGUCUAGAGACCAAGCAAAAAUGAUAUGUUAUUGAUACAUGCCGUAUAGGUCUUAGUGAGAAACUUUUCAAAUGAACUAAGAUUUGAGUCUCAUAGUGAUGCAACUUAUUUGGAUAAGAAAUUACAAUUUGAGUCCACCAAUUUCAUGUCAAAUCCAAAAUGGUUCCUAGAAUCAGUUUUACGCCAUUCUUCCAUGAGCAAAGCUGUUCAUGGCGAAUGCAUUUCUAGUUCCUUUAGAUUGGUAUUUCAUAGUUGGUAUUGCAUUUUGCAAGGAUCCUUCUGGACAAUCUUGUUGAUCUUGGUACUUGUAUGAGAAAAUAAGAGCCUUGUGAUUGUGGAGUUAUUGGUGCAUAUAAUAUUACGGUGGUUCUUAAAAAUCAAGAUUUGUAUAUACCAUUAAUGCGUACUUUUAAUUCAAACUUUGUCCCAUGCAAAUGAAGCAGGCUUUAUUUGCAUAUCUUACCAUACGGUCACAGAGUUAAAGGCCCUGCAAGGACCCGAAGACAUAAUACUUUUUCUUUAUUGCUGACCGCUUGAGAGAGACUUUUCGGUUCACGUAAGCAUGUCCUUUUCCUAUGUAAGCUCUCAAAUUGUUAGCUUUAAGAUCUACUGUUAAAAGAAUCUAGGUGGAGCAUGUACCUGUGCGGUGCAGCUUUUAGCUGUCAAAAGUUCUCUUAUUGGGGCAUAGCUCUCUUUGGAUCCCAGGGGGAUAUGAUGUCGCGUAUUAUGAUAAUUUAAUGUUAUUCUUCAAAAUUGUCCUUCCCUUUUAUUCUAACCGCUUUUUUUGUUACAUUUUUGAACACUUUAAUAUAAAGUAAGAAACAACAGUCGAUCAGUCCCUUGUUCAACUUAAUGAUACAUCUUAGCGCUGAACCGUCUAUAUUUGUUUAUGUUGUUUUUUGUUUUUGUAGGACACCAUGCCAAGUUACUUUCAUUGGACUAGUUCGGAACUAGGAAAGCAUUUGCCUUUAUCCCACAAACUUUGUAAUUUGAACAAUAUUUAUAUUGUUGUCUCUCUUUUAUAAAUGAUCUUUUUUUCUUGUUCUGUGAUCCUAUUUAGCAUUUGUUGCCUCAUUAAUUGGUUAUAGUAUGGGACUGUAUGCAUCAGGAUAUGAACUUGAAGGAAUUGGAUGAACUAACUUAAAUGUCUGUAUGCAAAUAUUUAUCUGAAGCCAAGUGACAGUGGCUCUAUAUUAACAAAUAUCUAUCUCCAAUCUUCCUGCCUAGCGCCCACUUUGUAAUCUAUUAGGCAUCGAGUCCCUAGAUUAUAUGUGCUAGCAUUUUUCAAUAUUACCUUCCAGAGCAUCUAGGUUUAGAUGGUUUUUGCUGUGCAGGCUAGGGAGGCUGGUGACUUAUUGUUGUCAGAUGAAGGAUAUUGCCCUAGAGUCAUAAGAAUGGGUUUCCUGAGCUAAAUAGUUCAAAUUAGGGCUUUGUUGGAGUUGACUUGAGCUUAAUAUUGGGCCUGAUGAUCAAAUGUCAUUUUCAUUGACAUUUCUUACCUUUGACACGACAUAAGAUUAUGCGAGGGCUUGGAAUGAGGACAGAUUACAAGUACAGGUGAGGGUUUUGGUACCNNNN